Homo sapiens (human) is the source of this 1731-nucleotide long non-coding RNA. Ensembl annotates it as long intergenic non-protein coding RNA 424. The record is from Ensembl. Lineage: Eukaryota; Metazoa; Chordata; Mammalia; Primates; Hominidae.
GGGCAGGGACAAAUAAGGGAAUAAAAGCUGGCCACCCCAGCCAGCAGUGGUAACCGGUUUGGGUCCUUUUUCGCAAUGUGGAGUCUUCGUCCUUUUGCUCUUCCCAAAAAACCUUGCUGCCUCUUACUUUUUGGGUCUGUGCCAUCUUUAAGAGCUGUAACACUCACCGUGAAGGUCCGUGGCUUCAUUGAUGAAGUCAGUGAGAAUCAUGAAGUCAGCCAGAGUACUGGUAGGAACCAACCCCAGACACACCAGCACUUUGGUAGGCUGAGGCAGUUGGAUCACCUGAGGUCAGGAGUUUGAGACUGGCCUGACUAAGAUAGUGAAACCCCGUCUCCACUAAAAAUGUAAAAGUUAGCCAGGCAUAGGGACGGGGACCUGUAAUCUCAACUACAGGGGAGGCUGAGGCAGGAGAAUCACUUGAACCUGAGCGCCAGAGGUUGCAGUGAGCUGAGGUCGCAUCAUUGCACUCCAGCCUGGGCGACAGAGUGAGACUCCGUCUUUGAAUAAAUAAAUAAAGUGGACUGGAGCGCUGUGCUUUGCUGCUGUCCAUGAUCUCAAUGGCUACUUUCUAGGAAGGUUACUACACAUUUUUCAUUGAAUUAUUAUACCACUAUUUCAAAAAAAGACAUGCAGAGGGGAAAUAUUUCUAUUUCUGGCCCAUUUUUCUCUAUCCCCAGAGUCCGGAGCUGGCUCUCCUUUACCAGAGUCAGAUCAUGGUCAUCAGACACGUCCCAUUCUCACUCAACCCAGGGGCAACAGAGUGCUGACCACAAAGCACGUGCUUAAUGAGUGAUGAGUGACCCAAAAAACAAAUCAGAAGAUGGGCAAAAAUUCAUCAUCUAAGGGACUAGAAGAAAUGGGAUAUCCUGUGAGGUUCAGAAAAGCCCAGCAAGGGUCAGGGGACACCACUGCAGAAGAAUCAUUGUCAAAUCAUCGCAUAGGAAAACCCAGCAGCCUCAGAGGGGCUCCUGCAGGCCAAGCUCAUGUACAGUGGGCCUGUGCUCUUCCUUAGCAGAAGGGCGUGGCCAGCCCUUGCCCACUGUCCUUACGGCGGGCUUCAACCUGGGCUCAACCUGCACUCUCUUCCCAUCUGCAGCCCUGGAGGGAAUCGACUGCCAGUUUAAGGAGUCAUUGUCCAGUUCAGACUCCAGAAUACGAAACGUAGAAACUGACAGGAAAUGACCAAGUAUAAAUUGCAACUUGUAAAGAAUCAUCUUAAAUCCUGGCACUGCGUUCAAGGGGGAGUUUGAGCAAGGAAUGUUGCUAAAACGGCUAAAACCAGGAACUCAGAAUAUCGUUCUACAAUAGAACCUAAAAACUGUUUCCAACCCAUCACGACAUCACCCUGAAAAAUGAGUGAGCAGUCACUGAGGCUUCCCAAGUUUGAAAAUUCCACAAGACUGAGAGCAAAUGUUUUGUUGAAACUGAAGUCAAGAUGAAGUCAGCUGACUCUCAAACCUCAGGUGAAGUGACUCAGGGCCCACACCCCGGUUCUGAGGCAGGGACACAUUUUACUUGCAGCACCCUGCAGCUUUGGAUGAGGCUGCAACCCGGGUGAAUCCUGGCCCUGCUAUCACGUGGGCAGCCACUGCAUCCUCCGGAGGCUGUGGAUGGGAGUCACCAUGCUGGGAGGUCUGGAGUAAGAUCUGUGCCAUCUGCCUUGCCCAAUCCUGUACCAGUGCCUGUGUUUCAAAAUCUCAAAAUAAAAGUGAUUAUUCUUGCAACACA